UACGUAGGCAGCGAGCGUUGUUCGGAAUUACUGGGCGUAAAGAGUGUGUAGGCGGUGCUCUAAGUUCGGUGUGAAAUCUCCCGGCUCAACUGGGAGGGUGCGCCGAAAACUGGAAUGCUUGAACGUGGGAGAGGAAAGCGGAAUUCCUGGUGUAGCGGUGAAAUGCGUAGAUAUCAGGAGGAACACCUGCGGUGUAGACGGCUUUCUGGACCAUUGUUGACGCUGAGACACGAAAGCGUGGGUAGCAAACAGG
This 253-nucleotide ribosomal RNA is filed under the name uncultured bacterium. RNAcentral's name for it is "partial 16S ribosomal RNA". It matches the Rfam family "Bacterial small subunit ribosomal RNA", at positions 524 to 776 of the family's 1533-position model. The record is from RNAcentral.